UAGAAGUCUAAAAUUUUGACUGGUUUUGAAAAAAAGUUCGCACAACUUUAAGCCAAAUCAAAAUUCAUCGACAAGUUUCAAAUUUCAUCCGAAAAUCUUUUUCAUGCAAAUAUUAUGGUAGUGUAACUAUAUAUGAGAGGGUUUUAAUCAAAACAAUUACAAAUAAAUUGGAUUGGCGAAAUAAAUAAUUUAAAGAAAAGACAUAUGUACACUAACUACAAAAUUAAUGUAUACUAAUUAUAAACAAGGACGGGUUCCAUAUUGAGGUUUCUUUACUUUUCAAGUGAACCUUUUUUAUUUAAAGAAAAAAUAAACUAACUUUAUUACAGGAAAAUAUGCUUCAUUAUAUGCAACUCCUAAAACUCUGUUUUCUGAAAAAGAUAAGUCUAUUAGAUCUCACCAUAGUUUGUCUUAGUCAUGUUUAAAUUUGCAAAUUAGAACAGAAUUGCUUUGAAGAAAUUUUUCUAAACCAAUUGUAUACCAAUAUUAGGAGUAUUACCAAAAAGUUAGUUAAAUUACAAGAUAUGGAUGUGUUCCGUAGACCCAUCAACAGCUAGCCAGGCUAGUUUUUGCAGAAUUGCACGAAAGAUGAUGCGUUUUGGUAAUUAUAGUGAUAACUAAUUGAGUUUUCCUGUAAAUUCAGUUGACAUUAAUAGCACUGACAACGUUUGGAAGUGUGCUACAUUAGUGAACGACGCAAAAGAAGUUAAAACAAAGAAGGCAAUUAAUGUCCAUUUUACGAAUAAUGUGCUAGCCAUGACUGUAGCUUGGUGGGAUGUUAAGUAGAGCAAUAAGCUAACUGAGUUAAUGUUAUUCUCGAUUUUGAAUUAUGUAACAACAUAGUUUUUUUUAUAUCAAAUAUCGUUGUUUUUUAUCAUUUAUUUACUUUCAAAAAACUUUUUAA
This is a long non-coding RNA of Hydra vulgaris (swiftwater hydra), 904 nucleotides long. RefSeq lists it as uncharacterized. The record is from RefSeq and is a predicted model, not a curated record. Lineage: Eukaryota; Metazoa; Cnidaria; Hydrozoa; Anthoathecata; Hydridae.